CCGGAUUUGGUGUUCGUUUCAGA
This 23-nucleotide non-coding RNA is filed under the name Arabidopsis thaliana (thale cress). The record is from RNAcentral. Lineage: Eukaryota; Viridiplantae; Streptophyta; Magnoliopsida; Brassicales; Brassicaceae.